RNAcentral lists this ribosomal RNA (550 nucleotides) under Flavobacterium sp. A31. Its description in RNAcentral is "bacterial SSU rRNA". It matches the Rfam family "Bacterial small subunit ribosomal RNA", at positions 155 to 703 of the family's 1533-position model. Lineage: Bacteria; Pseudomonadati; Bacteroidota; Flavobacteriia; Flavobacteriales; Flavobacteriaceae. The record is from RNAcentral.
AAUUUGGAUUAAUACCUCAUAGCAUUGCAGGAUGGCAUCAUCCAGCAAUUAAAGUCACAACGGUAAAAGAUGAGCAUGCGUCCCAUUAGCUAGUUGGUAAGGUAACGGCUUACCAAGGCUACGAUGGGUAGGGGUCCUGAGAGGGAGAUCCCCCACACUGGUACUGAGACACGGACCAGACUCCUACGGGAGGCAGCAGUGAGGAAUAUUGGACAAUGGGCGCAAGCCUGAUCCAGCCAUGCCGCGUGCAGGAUGACGGUCCUAUGGAUUGUAAACUGCUUUUAUACGAGAAGAAACACUACUUCGUGAAGUAGCUUGACGGUAUCGUAAGAAUAAGGAUCGGCUAACUCCGUGCCAGCAGCCGCGGUAAUACGGAGGAUCCAAGCGUUAUCCGGAAUCAUUGGGUUUAAAGGGUCCGUAGGCGGUUUAAUAAGUCAGUGGUGAAAGCCCAUCGCUCAACGGUGGAACGGCCAUUGAUACUGUUAAACUUGAAUUAUUAGGAAGUAACUAGAAUAUGUAGUGUAGCGGUGAAAUGCUUAGAGAUUACAUG